UACGGGGGGGGUAAGCGUUGUUCGGAAUUACUGGGCGUAAAGGGCUCGUAGGCGGCCAACUAAGUCAGACGUGAAAUCCCUCAGCUUAACUGGGGAACUGCGUCUGAUACUGGAUGGCUUGGAUCCGGGAGAGGGAUGCGGAAUUCCAGGUGUAGCGGUGAAAUGCGUAGAUAUCAGGAGGAACACCGGUGGCGAAGGCGGCUACCUGGACAGAAACUGACGCUGAGGCGCGAAAGCUAGGGGAGCAAACAGG
This 253-nucleotide ribosomal RNA is filed under the name uncultured bacterium. RNAcentral describes it as "partial 16S ribosomal RNA". It matches the Rfam family "Bacterial small subunit ribosomal RNA", at positions 524 to 776 of the family's 1533-position model. The record is from RNAcentral.